Molecule: ribosomal RNA, 229 nt
Filed under: uncultured bacterium
Lineage: Bacteria
Description: partial 16S ribosomal RNA
Rfam family: Bacterial small subunit ribosomal RNA
Source: RNAcentral
GAUCAUGGCUCAGGACGAACGCUGGCGGCGUGCCUAACACAUGCAAGUCGAACGAAGCUUGACGAAUGAUUUCUUCGGAAUGAAAUCUGAUAUGACUGAGUGGCGGACGGGUGAGUAACGCGUGGGUAACCUGCCUUAUACAGGGGGAUAACAGUUAGAAAUGACUGCUAAUACCGCAUAAGCGCACAGAAUUGCAUGAUCUGGUGUGAAAAACUCCGGUGGUAUAAGA